RNAcentral lists this ribosomal RNA (552 nucleotides) under Triticum aestivum (bread wheat). RNAcentral describes it as "partial small subunit ribosomal RNA". The record is from RNAcentral. Lineage: Eukaryota; Viridiplantae; Streptophyta; Magnoliopsida; Poales; Poaceae.
AUGUUUCAAGUCUUUCCGAGCAUUUACAGCCGUUAUCCUGUCCGAAUUCUCCUAGAAAUUCUAAUGCCUUUGCAUUAUUUCGUGCUUUCAGAUGGCCACCCGUUCCCAGAAUCAAGUGGUUCGUCUGACCGGUGCCUCGAUGUACCUGGUCACACGGCCAUGCUGGUCCGAGUGAUGGUUGAGACAGGCUAUCGAUGGUAUCCCGAGUAUACCGUCGAGGAGCAGUUUCGAGACUUUAAUCAAAGCCAAUAUUUUUGCACAGUCAGGAUUUACCCUUCCUAUCCUGGAUCCACUGAACCCCUCCAUUGCUCUUAUGGACUUGGGGUUACCAUCGAGAUGUCCGUGCAGGACGCAGCUUACUCAAUGAUGACUAUCAUACGAGCCAGAACUGCCUUGCUUCAGAACACUGACUUCCGCUAUAUGCCAGCAUCAUUCCCUGGGGCACAAGGGUACUAUCAGGCUAUUUACUGUGAUCCUACCCAUGAGGAUUCACUACUCCGCACCACCACCGAGAUGCUUGAGGACAAGGACCGUGAGAAUCGUGCCUUGUGA